UUGCAACACACUGAUUUUCCUAAUUGUAUCUGUUUCAAGUUAUUAUGUCCAAAUGUAUUCUUUAGGUUAAAUUGCGAUAUGCAUAUGGGCUUUUCAUCUUCCAGCCUCUAGGCAAUUUUUCUGACCUUGAGCUGAAAUGUUUUAUAAUUAGCUUGGGAUUAACUUGGCUGGAAGUAAUGAAGAAAAAUAUAAGAUUUCCUGUGAUAUCAUUUGUAAUUUUGUAGCUUUUGAUAAGAGUGAUUGCUGAAGAAGUAUUUGUAAAACCAACUCCAAAUAUUUUUGACAAGGCUCCAUAUUUAAAACUGUUUUCUUAAAUAAUGAGGGGAAUCUUGCAUUAUUAAAGGCUAAUGUAUCAACUCAUGAUUAUAAGUUAUAUACGUUGAGUGGGUAAGACUUGUUAAUCAUGAUUGUGUAACAAUUACGAAAAUGGAGAUGAUACAAUUGUUUGUCCUGUUACCAAAUUGAAACCUAAAAUAUAUAAUUGCUAUCUACAUUUUUUGUAGAGCUUAUGGGCAUGUGUUUGACUUUACACCUUGUUUUGUAAUUUAUUUAUGUUGAAUUGUGAAACUUAUUUCACUAGACAACAAUAACCAACAAACAUACUGCCAAUUAGUGAAGGUUUGCAUAUUAAUUUCUUUUUUAGGAUUUGUUCUUCUUAAUAUGUGGCAUGAUUUUUCUCUGUGAUUAGGUCUCUACAUCUUCCGACCCUUAAAAACAAAAUUGGUGUGUCCUCUUCUCAAGGCUUCCUUAGAUCUUUGUUUC
RNAcentral lists this long non-coding RNA (762 nucleotides) under Phoenix dactylifera (date palm). RNAcentral describes it as "long non-coding RNA (PDAC_LNC016199)". Lineage: Eukaryota; Viridiplantae; Streptophyta; Magnoliopsida; Arecales; Arecaceae. The record is from RNAcentral.